RNAcentral lists this long non-coding RNA (2851 nucleotides) under Carica papaya (papaya). RNAcentral's name for it is "long non-coding RNA (CPAP_LNC009179)". The record is from RNAcentral. Lineage: Eukaryota; Viridiplantae; Streptophyta; Magnoliopsida; Brassicales; Caricaceae.
CAGGAGUUGGCAGAAUCUGAAGCUGAAUUCACCCAUCUUCUUUUAUCCCUUGGUGAACCAUCACUUCCUGCCCGGGUACAUGAUCUAUCAAACUCUACAUCUAGCAGCCUCUUACAGCCUGCACUUCAAAUACAACACAUAUACACGUGUAAAACCCAAAUAAUAAUUUUACAAUGUUCUCUCUGAUGAACCUAAUAUUAUAAAAGCUCAAAAUCAAUUUCUAUCAUCAUUGAAUUCUGUGCUAAAGGUCUAUUGUAAGCUACCCCUUACGUUCUAGAAAGUUAAAUGAAAGGAUCUGUUAGAAUCUUUGCAGCAUAUGCAACAAUAAAGAUUGUGAGUCAUGCUGUGGUGAGAGUUUAGUCUGUCUAAAACAGAAUAUGCGUAAAUGACACGAUACUUUAUACUUGCCUGAGUCAUAUAAACUACUGUUUGUACAGCCAGAAAAGACGGGAAGGACGCUCAAGGAACAGCUAGAUUCAAUGUCACCUGCUUUGCAAGAAAUGCGGUUGAGAAAAGAGGAGAGAGUGAACGAGUUUCGAGCUGUGCAAGGGCAAAUUCAGAAAAUUUCUGCACAAGUAGCAGGUCAAUCAGAAUAUGACGAUUCAUCAACAAAGAUCAUAGUGAAUGAGAAUGAUCUCUCUCUCAAGAAAUUAGAGGAAUAUAAAACUGAACUUCAAAGACUCCACAAUGAGAAGGUAUUUCACUGCUCUUUGUGUUAGUAGCAAGCACAUUUUCAUUAUAUUCAUCAAAACUGAGAAAUUAAGGAACUCCUACUUCCAUUUUCUUUCCAUGGAUGGAAAGAAUGACAGGCUUCAGAGAGUGGAAAAGUACAUAAGUACAAUCCAUGAUUUAUCUGCAAUCCUGGGGAUUGAAUCCUCUAUGAUCAUAACUAAGGUUCAUCCAAGCUUGAAUGAACUGUACGGAAUAUCCAAAAACAUAAGUGACAGUAUAUUGGCCAAGCUAAACAGCACGGUGGAAUCUCUUGAAGACGAAAAACAACAGCGGCUUGAGAAGGUGAACUCUAAAUACCAUUCCUUCCCAUAUGUUCCUGAUCUUAGCCUUCUUUUGACCGCAUCUUAUUUAAAUCCAGUUGCAAUAAAACAUACAAGUUUGUCGACUGUGCUCAUGGCAUGUAUUCAUGGAAGUAAAAACAAAGAUCAACGUGAAAAAUCGGUUGUUGAGCUUUUAUUCCAUUUAUUCAAGGUGCCACUAACAUGUUAGGUAGAAGAUCAUCAUGACAAACUCUAAUUUACAUUUUGCAAGUUUGGCAGCUUCACCAUCUUGGUAAAUCCUUAAAGAACUUGUGGAAUCUUAUGAACACACCCUUCGAAGAUCGUCAACCGUUUUCCCAUGUAACUAAUUUACUAUCCAUCUCAUCAACAGAAGUUUCUUAUCCUGGAAGCCUUACUAUAAAUAAAAUCCAGCAGGUAAGAUACAUAGUAUCUAAUCUAACUUCAGUAUAUCAGAAAACAUCUAGACUAAACAGUAAUUAAAUUGUUGCAAGGCUGAUGCUGAAUUCAAGAGACUAGAUCAAUUGAAAGCAAGCAAGAUGAAGGAACUUUUCCUAAAGAAGCAGAAUGAACUAGAAGAGAUAUGCAAUAAAUCACACAUGUAUAUACCUUCAAGAUCGGAGAUGGAAAACAUCAUAAACCUCAUAAAAUCUGGUGUGACUUAGUGAAUACUGAGCUUUUUUUAUAGAAAGACUUGUGUUGUUUAAAUCUGAAGUGUCGUAAUCUGAUCAAAACCGACAAAAGGGGGGAUUGACCAUGCCAAUCUCCUCAUGACCAUGGAUGGACAGAUAUCAAGAGCAAAGGAAGAAGCCUCUAGUCGGCAAACAAUAAUGGAGAAAGUAGAAAGAUUGAUGUUAGCACGUGACGAGGAGCGGUGGCUUGAAGAAUAUAGCAUGGUUAAUACUCUCAACAUUGGUCCAAACAUUACUAGCUUUCACUUUAGACCACUCAUGCCUGUUUGACGGAUUUUUUUUUCAGGAUGAGAAUCGAUAUUCAGUCAGCAGAGGUGCUCAUAAGAAUCUGAGACGUGCAGAACGGGCCAGGGUAACAGUCAACAAAAUCCCAGGUAAAAUAGGAAAUUUCUUGUGUUAGAUAUUUGCUCGAUUCAGUAGAAGAAACCCAAAUCACUAAUACAACUGAUAAAUCCUAUAAAAUGAUUAUAUAUAAAAAUAAAUAAAUAAAACCACUGAUGCUUUCUGUUAAAGCAGUUAGUUUAUCCAUCCAAUGAUGUUUCUAUUUUCAUACAAUGAUCCAUUGCAGCAGUGGUUGAAACACUUAUAGCAAAAACAAAGAGCUGGGAAGAAGAGAGAAAGAAAGUUUUCCUAUAUGAUGAGGUGAGAAUCUUUUACCUGAAGGAUGUAGAUAGAACUAUGUUUAUUUUAUUGGGCACAAGUAGCUGAAUAGUUUUUUGCAAAUACGGGAGCAUUAUCUACAGUUACCAUAAACUAAUAAUAAGAAAAAUAACAUUUUGCUUUUCUAGGUACCUCUCCUUGCAAUGUUGGAGGAGUACAACAUGCUGCGCCAGGAAAAAGAGGACGAGAAGCUAAGACAACGGGUUAGUAUUGUUUGAAACUGCUAUCGAAAUAGAAUGCCAUUCAUCAGUCUCUAUUUUAGUCCACGUAUAUAGCUUUCUCAUCAGAAUGUUAACAGAGAAGAAAAUUUCACAUUCAAUAGCAUCUUUUAUGUAAUCUGAUACCUGAUCAGAUGGCGUUUCCUCAGCAGAAGAAAAAGGUUCAAAGCCAAGUAAUUACAGAGCAGGAUAGUUUCUCUAUUUCAAGGCCAACCACCAGUAGUCGGCAUAUUUCAAGUAGGAGCUUGAACGGAGGUUUCAGCAAUGCAAC